This 2187-nucleotide ribosomal RNA is filed under the name Triticum aestivum (bread wheat). Its description in RNAcentral is "partial small subunit ribosomal RNA". Lineage: Eukaryota; Viridiplantae; Streptophyta; Magnoliopsida; Poales; Poaceae. The record is from RNAcentral.
AUGGCCUUCCAUCGCCAGAGAACACUCUGCUUCACAACCAUUGCCACCUUAUUCCUCCUCCACCAUAUCGCCGCCGCUUCCUCCUCGCUAGUCCAAGAACAUGAUAGGUGGGCUCUCCUCCAACUCAUGAACGGACUCUCCUCCGGCUGCGGCGACGUCCCUGGGUACUGGUCACCGGACUCAGGCGUUCAACACUGCUCCUGGAAGGAGGUGAGAUGCGACAUGCGGUCCCGGGUCGUCGCCAUCUCCCUCCCUUCCCAACCCAGCCGGCGCCUCGCCGGGGUGUUGUCACCGGCGGUGGCCGGCCUCACCGACCUCAAAGUACUUUCUCUACCCUCCCGAGGGCUCCGCGGAGAGAUACCUGGUGAGUUAUGGAGGCUGCAGAACCUGGAGGUCCUCAACCUUGCGGGCAACUCCCUCCGCGGCUCCCUUCCGGCCAUCUUCCCCAAGGGGCUGCAGAGUUUGGACCUUUCCGGCAACCAGCUCUCCGGGAGAAUCCCUCCUGGUCUCGGGGACUGCUCGCACCUCCGGCGGCUCCGGAUGUCUUCCAAUUCUCUGGAUGAUUUCAUCCCUCCGCAGAUUGGGAGGCUUGCCGAGUUGCGGGUCUUGGAAUUGUCCGGGAACAGACUAGCCGGUGGCGUUCCGCCGGAGCUCCGGCAUUGCAGUUACCUUGUCAAGAUGGACCUCAGCAGAAAUUUACUCCAUGGGCAAGUGCCUUCCUCCAUUCUCAAGGAGCUCAAGAAGUUGAGGUUUCUGUCAUUAGCUGGGAACAAUUUCAGUGGUGAGAUACCAUCCGGUCUGGGUCAGCUGAGAUCGCUGAGGCUGCUAAAUUUGUCCUCAAAUUCUCUGUCAGGAGUGGUUCCCAUUGAUCUCGUGGCACUGAGAGAUCACACAGUUCUACUCCUUGACAGUGAUCUGCUCCCUGCGAAGGUUUCCUCUCCUAUGCCAUCACCUGAAAUGGAAGAGAUUUCUCAAGUGACAGCUGAUAGUUCAGGGGUAGGUCCACCACCCCACUCUGCUGAAGUAUUUACAGUCAUCCCCCAGUACAAAAGCACCUGGGUACUUACCGAGGCAAACCGAGGCACACCGCCUGAUGGCAGCGGCAAUGUUGGUCAUCUGAAGACCAUAGAGAUUGUUGCAAUAGCUUUGGUGUUAGUCGUCAUUGUUGCUCUUCUAGUUGUGGCCACCAUAUACGUUUUCAAAAGGAGAAGACGGACCCCAAGGCAACCAAGACGCUCUGGCACUGGCACUGGCACUAGAAGGGAGAGGGAGGUGAAGGUUUUUGAUGGCGUUGACAUUGGAGCUUCCCUAACUUACGAGGCAAUUGUCCGGGCCACUGGAAAUUUUAAUGCAAGCAACUGCAUCGGCUUUGGCGGCUUUGGCGCGACAUAUAGAGCUGAGGUUGCACCUGGGGUUUUGGUGGCAGUAAAGAGGCUUUCUAUUGGGAGGCAACACGGUAACAAGCAGUUCCAAGCAGAAGUUGAAACCCUUGGGCGGCGUCACCAUCCUAAUCUUGUCACUCUCAUGGGGUACCAUAUCAGUGACCAAGAGACAUUCCUGAUAUACAACUAUUUGCCAGGUGGAAACUUGGAGAGGUUCAUACAGGAGAGAGCUAAGAGGCAAAUUGGUUGGAGAGUGCUCCACAAAAUUGCUCUGGAUAUUGCUCAUGCUCUUGCUUUCAUGCAUGAUGAGUGCUCCCCCCGCAUUCUGCACCGAGAUGUUAAGCCAAGCAACAUAUUGCUCGACAAUGACUUCAAUGCAUAUCUCUCCGAUUUUGGAUUAGCGAAACUUCUUCGCAACUCACAAACUCAUACAACCACAAGUGUUGCUGGUACUUUCGGUUAUGUCGCGCCGGAGUAUGCAACGACAUGCCGUGUGUCUGAUAAAGCAGAUGUUUAUAGCUAUGGGGUUCUGCUUCUUGAACUGAUCUCGGAUAAGAAAGUACUGGAUCCAUCGUUCUCUCCAUAUGGAAAUGGUUUCAACAUUAUUAGCUGGGCUAAUAAGCUAAUCCAAAGCGGUAGAGUUUGCGAGUUCUUCGUUGAGGGCUUGUGGAAUAAGGCCCCACAUGAUGACCUGGUUGAGAUUAUGAACCUGGGGCUCCUGUGCACUGUGGAGUCUCUUUCUUCUAGGCCCAAAAUGAAGCAUGUUGUUCGCCGUCUAAGAGAACUCCGUCCGCCUUCUUACUAG